UAAUUGAGGAUGGAGGGAGUA
Molecule: microRNA, 21 nt
Filed under: Corchorus olitorius
Lineage: Eukaryota; Viridiplantae; Streptophyta; Magnoliopsida; Malvales; Malvaceae
Description: osa-miR62
Source: RNAcentral